This 492-nucleotide ribosomal RNA is filed under the name uncultured bacterium. RNAcentral's name for it is "partial 16S ribosomal RNA". It matches the Rfam family "Bacterial small subunit ribosomal RNA", at positions 29 to 507 of the family's 1533-position model. The record is from RNAcentral.
AGUGAACGCUGGCGGUAGGCCUAACACAUGCAAGUCGAACGGCAGCACAGUAAGAGCUUGCUCUUACGGGUGGCGAGUGGCGGACGGGUGAGGAAUACAUCGGAAUCUACUUUUUCGUGGGGGAUAACGAAGGGAAACUUACGCUAAUACCGCAUACGACCUACGGGUGAAAGCAGGGGAUCUUCGCACCUUGCGCGAGUGAAUGAGCCGAUGUCGGAUUAGCUAGUUGGCGGGGUAAAGGCCCACCAAGGCGACGAUCCGUAGCUGGUCUGAGAGGAUGAUCAGCCACACUGGAACUGAGACACGGUCCAGACUCCUACGGGAGGCAGCAGUGGGGAAUAUUGGACAAUGGGCGCAAGCCUGAUCCAGCCAUACCGCGUGGGUGAAGAAGGCCUUCGGGUUGUAAAGCCCUUUUGUUGGGAAAGAAAAGCAGCAGGUUAAUACCCCGCUGUUCUGACGGUACCCAAAGAAUAAGCACCGGCUAACUUCGUG